This 21-nucleotide unclassified non-coding RNA is filed under the name Dictyostelium discoideum. The record is from RNAcentral. Lineage: Eukaryota; Evosea; Eumycetozoa; Dictyosteliales; Dictyosteliaceae.
CCCCAAGAAAGCUUGCUGGUU